UGCCAGCCGCCGCGGUAAUACGGAGGGUGCAAGCGUUAAUCGGAAUUACUGGGCGUAAAGCGCGCGUAGGCGGUUUAUCAAGUUGGGCGUGAAAGCCCGGGGCUCAACCCCGGAACUGCGCUCAAAACUGGUAGGCUAGAGACCGGGAGAGGUAAGCGGAAUUCCUAGUGUAGAGGUGAAAUUCGUAGAUAUUAGGAAGAACACCAGUGGCGAAGGCGGCUUACUGGACCGGUACUGACGCUGAGGUACGAAAGCGUGGGGAGCGAACGGGAUUAGAUA
Molecule: ribosomal RNA, 279 nt
Filed under: uncultured bacterium
Lineage: Bacteria
Description: partial 16S ribosomal RNA
Rfam family: Bacterial small subunit ribosomal RNA
Source: RNAcentral